UGGGGAAUCUUGCGCAAUGGGCGAAAGCCUGACGCAGCGACGCCGCGUGAGCGAUGAAGGCCUUCGGGUUGUAAAGCUCUGUGGGGAGGAAAGAAUAAGGGUUGGCUAAUAUCCAGCUCGAUGACGGUACCUCCUUAGCAAGCACCGGCUAAAUCUGUGCCAGCAGCCGCGGUAAGACAGAGGGUGCAAACGUUGUUCGGAAUUACUGGGCGUAAAGCGCGUGUAGGCGGCUCUGCAAGUCAGGUGUGAAAUCCCACGGCUCAACCAUGGAAGUGCACUUGAAACUGCAGGGCUAGAGUCCUGGAGAGGAAGGUGGAAUGCUUGGUGUAGAGGUGAAAUUCGUAGAUAUCAAGCGGAACACCGGUGGCGAAGGCGGCCUUCUGGACAGUGACUGACGCUGAGACGCGAAAGCGUGGGGAGCAAA
Molecule: ribosomal RNA, 424 nt
Filed under: uncultured bacterium
Lineage: Bacteria
Description: bacterial SSU rRNA
Rfam family: Bacterial small subunit ribosomal RNA
Source: RNAcentral